Molecule: non-coding RNA, 504 nt
Organism: Calidris pugnax (ruff)
Lineage: Eukaryota; Metazoa; Chordata; Aves; Charadriiformes; Scolopacidae
Source: the annotation of a RefSeq genome assembly
AUGCUGGGACCCAGGGAGGGGACGUCGGGCGAGGAGCUGGGGGAGCGAUGGGGGGACCUUGGGGGUGACUCAAUUGUCUCCUUCCUCUCUCCCUCCCCAGGGCUGCGGGCGGCCGUGGAGCUGACGGAGUCCGGAGGGGGCCUCGUGACACCCGGGGGGUCCCUCACCCUCCGCUGCAAGGCCUCCGGCUUCGAUUUCAGCAACACCGGCAUGGGAUGGAUGCGACAGGCACCUGGGAAGGGUCUCCAGGGUGUUGCAGGGAUUAACUUCAAUGCUGGUUACAGCUGGUACGCGCCGUCGGUGAAGGGUCGCUUCACCAUCUCCAGGGACAACUCCCAGAGCACGGUCACGCUGCAGAUGAACAGCCUCAAGGAGGACGACACGGCCACCUACUACUGCGCCAAAGCUUCUGGUGCUUAUGCUGUUGAUGGUGGUAGCACCAACCCCAACCCCGUGUCCCCACAUCCCAGCCCUGGUUCACAGAAUCAGAACCGUCCAGGUUGA